RNAcentral lists this ribosomal RNA (246 nucleotides) under uncultured bacterium. Its description in RNAcentral is "partial 16S ribosomal RNA". It matches the Rfam family "Bacterial small subunit ribosomal RNA", at positions 523 to 769 of the family's 1533-position model. The record is from RNAcentral.
AUACGUAGGGGGCAAGCGUUGUCCGGAAUUAUUGGGCGUAAAGCGCGCGCAGGCGGUUCUUUAAGUCUGGUGUCUAAGUGCGGGGCUCAACCCCGUGAUGCACUGGAAACUGGGGAACUUGAGUGCAGAAGAGGAGAGCGGAAUUCCACGUGUAGCGGUGAAAUGCGUAGAGAUGUGGAGGAACACCAGUGGCGAAGGCGGCUCUCUGGACUGUAACUGACGCUGAGGCGCGAAAGCGUGGGGAGC